GGAACAUGGUCAUCUUCAACUUCAACAUAUUGCAGAUGCUGUCCAUGACCAGGAAGGAAAUUUGGGCCACGCCGAGGGUACCGGCCUUGAAGUCCCAGGGUUAUUCAAGGUUUACCUGAACAGCAUUGACCUUCAUCAAAAAGCGUGUGGUCUCCAUGAAGAUACUGCUGGGUUUGGGGGAAACUCCAUGAAAGGCUGGGGAAGCCAGAACUGAUGUUGACGUAUGACCUUUUGAACCUGAAAAAAGCCAUAUGAGAAGAGAAAGGGAAAGGAGAGGAGAGACCUGAGAAGCAGACAAGUGAGAAUAAAGCAGAGACUGUCCAUGAGAGAGGGCACUAGAGAAACUGAGAACUUCCAGGCAGAAGACUCCUUUAAAUACUGAUUCUUAAAGUCCUAAAUCCUGACCAGUCAAAAAUUCUUUUGUGUGUGACUUCAUACUUUUAAGUUUAAUCUGCAAGAACAUUUUCUUAAGUACUUCCUUGAGUCUCCACAACAAGAAAACAAUAAAUCAGGUCUUGGUUUGUG
Molecule: long non-coding RNA, 525 nt
Organism: Antechinus flavipes (yellow-footed antechinus)
Lineage: Eukaryota; Metazoa; Chordata; Mammalia; Dasyuromorphia; Dasyuridae
Exons: 2
Source: RefSeq, a predicted model, not a curated record